This 272-nucleotide long non-coding RNA is filed under the name Salvia miltiorrhiza (redroot sage). Its description in RNAcentral is "long non-coding RNA (SMIL_LNC008335)". The record is from RNAcentral. Lineage: Eukaryota; Viridiplantae; Streptophyta; Magnoliopsida; Lamiales; Lamiaceae.
GCGUUGGAGCCCGAUGAGCAGCCGAGAUCGGCUAUGCCGAGGCUUCGCGGCCUCAACGCCGAAUACGUUUCUUCCAUGGCUUCCAAGGCUAUGUCUUGAAUCCUUUCAGCAGCAUUUUCUUGUGGAGGUGACAAAUUAGUUAACUAUCUCUAUAGAGAGAGAGAGAGAGGAUUGAUUAAUUUACCUGAAGAGAUGAGUUCUCGUGAUAGCUUGUUUCUCCAAUUCCUCCAUUCAUGUGAAACACUUUCUCCACGUCCAUGGCGAUGAAGGGC